GAUGAACGCUGGCGGCGUGCCUAAUACAUGCAAGUCGAGCGAACGGACAAGAAGCUUGCUUCUCUGAUGUUAGCGGCGGACGGGUGAGUAACACGUGGAUAACCUACCUAUAAGACUGGGAUAACUUCGGGAAACCGGAGCUAAUACCGGAUAAUAUUUUGAACCGCAUGGUUCAAAAGUGAAAGACGGUCUUGCUGUCACUUAUAGAUGGAUCCGCGCUGCAUUAGCUAGUUGGUAAGGUAACGGCUUACCAAGGCAACGAUGCAUAGCCGACCUGAGAGGGUGAUCGGCCACACUGGAACUGAGACACGGUCCAGACUCCUACGGGAGGCAGCAGUAGGGAAUCUUCCGCAAUGGGCGAAAGCCUGACGGAGCAACGCCGCGUGAGUGAUGAAGGUCUUCGGAUCGUAAAACUCUGUUAUUAGGGAAGAACAGAUGUGUAAGUAACUGUGCACAUCUUGACGGUACCUAAUCAGAAAGCCACGGCUAACUACGUG
Molecule: ribosomal RNA, 497 nt
Filed under: uncultured bacterium
Lineage: Bacteria
Description: partial 16S ribosomal RNA
Rfam family: Bacterial small subunit ribosomal RNA
Source: RNAcentral